Molecule: ribosomal RNA, 456 nt
Filed under: uncultured soil bacterium
Lineage: Bacteria
Description: bacterial SSU rRNA
Rfam family: Bacterial small subunit ribosomal RNA
Source: RNAcentral
AGAGCGAACGCUGGCGGAAUGCUUAACACAUGCAAGUCGCACGGCCAGCAAUGGCAGUGGCGGACGGGUGAGUAACGCGUAGGAAUAUGUCCAGAGGUGGGGGACAACCCCGGGAAACUGGGGCUAAUACCGCAUAUGAGCUGAGGCUCAAAGCAGUGAUGCGCCUUUGGAGUAGCCUGCGUCCGAUUAGCUUGUUGGUGGGGUAAUGGCCUACCAAGGCGACGAUCGGUAGCUGGUCUGAGAGGACGACCAGCCACACUGGGACUGAGACACGGCCCAGACUCCUACGGGAGGCAGCGAGUGGGGAAUCUUGCGCGAAUGGGCGAAAGCCUGACGCAGCAACGCCGCGUGCGGGAUGAAGGCCUUCGGGUCGUAAACCGUCUUUCGAGGAGGAACGAAAACGAGACGUACCUCAGAAGAACGCCCCGGACCAACUACGUACGCCAGCAGCCGGAC